RNAcentral lists this ribosomal RNA (497 nucleotides) under uncultured bacterium. Its description in RNAcentral is "partial 16S ribosomal RNA". It matches the Rfam family "Bacterial small subunit ribosomal RNA", at positions 28 to 507 of the family's 1533-position model. The record is from RNAcentral.
GACGAACGCUGGCGGCGUGCCUAAUACAUGCAAGUAGAACGCUGAAGAGAGGAGCUUGCUCUUCUUGGAUGAGUUGCGAACGGGUGAGUAACGCGUAGGUAACCUGCCUUGUAGCGGGGGAUAACUAUUGGAAACGAUAGCUAAUACCGCAUAACAAUGGAUGACACAUGUCAUUUAUUUGAAAGGGGCAAUUGCUCCACUACAAGAUGGACCUGCGUUGUAUUAGCUAGUAGGUGAGGUAAUGGCUCACCUAGGCGACGAUACAUAGCCGACCUGAGAGGGUGAUCGGCCACACUGGGACUGAGACACGGCCCAGACCCCUAAGGGAGGGCGCAGUAGGGGAUCUUCGGGAAUGGGGGCAACCCUGACCGAGGAACGCCGCGGGGGUGAAGGAGGUUUUCGGAUCGUAAAGAUCUGUUGUAAGUCAAGAAAGGGUGUGAGAGUGGAAAGUUCACACUGUGACGGUAGCUUACCAGAAAGGGACGGCUAACUACGUG